UGAGGGAUAUUGCGCAAUGGGGGCAACCCUGACGCAGCGACGCCGCGUGAGUGAGGAAGGCCCUCGGGUCGUAAAGCUCUGUCAAGAGGAAAGAAGUGCAUAGUAGUUAAUACCUGCUAUGUUUGACGGUACCUCUAAAGGAAGCACCGGCUAACUCCGUGCCAGCAGCCGCGGUAAUACGGAGGGUGCAAGCGUUGUUCGGAAUCACUGGGCGUAAAGGGCGCGCAGGCGGUUUGGUAAGUCAGAUGUGAAAGCCCACGGCUUAACUGUGGAAGUGCAUUUGAAACUGUCAGACUUGAGUACCAGAGGGGAAAGUGGAAUUCCCGGUGUAAUGGUGAAAUUCGUAGAUAUCGGUGGGAAUACCUGUGGCGAAGGCGACUAUCUGGCUGAGUACUGACGCUGAGGCGCGAAAGCGUGGGGAGCAAACA
Molecule: ribosomal RNA, 428 nt
Filed under: uncultured prokaryote
Description: bacterial SSU rRNA
Rfam family: Bacterial small subunit ribosomal RNA
Source: RNAcentral